This is a non-coding RNA of Megalopta genalis, 960 nucleotides long. The record is from RefSeq and is a predicted model, not a curated record. Lineage: Eukaryota; Metazoa; Arthropoda; Insecta; Hymenoptera; Halictidae.
GAACAAACUAUUUCAUCUACUUAUUCGAAUCAGCUAUUUUAUUUAUUUAUUCGAACAAACUGUUUCGUUUAUUUAUUCGGAAUAUUAAAAACAAAACAAAUUCAAAAAGCAUUUACGCAAAUAAAGUAUUUUAAGCCUUUAUGUUUUCUUAUCCAACUGUAAAGAAUUAUCAUUUAUUUUACACAAGUAAGUCCUGAAUCUCCUUUUUUGAGGGUUACCGGUCGAACGGUGAGAAAAUAACACAACGUCGUGAACGGCAUCGACAGCCAAAAUGUCAGCAAUUUCUCAAAACUAAGCGUAUCCUCUGUCAACAUUUGUGAAUCUCCAUCAAAGUCAACAUCGAAUCAGCCAAUAAUUGAAUAAUUUACAAUGUAUAAUCGAUAUUGGAUCCACUUAAUGCAGUGCUAAAUCGAAAUCUUCGGACAUUUUCUCGGUUCUCCCUCGACACACUGCACGAACCUUAAAUAAUAUUCUCCCAACUUAUUUAUUAGGGGAAAGCAGUGACACUACCGAAUGGCAAUCAGACUGGAGCAGUUCCUUCUAUCAAGCGUAAAGUUCUUGGAAAACCAAGAUCUAAAAAACCUCUAAAAAUUCUGUCAGAUGUAGAUACUGAUACUAGCGAAGAAAGAAAAAUGUUCUAUAUAUUUACUUCCCUUUAGAAGGCAUCAGUUAGGCACACCUUCUUCCUGUGAACAUUAUUUCUAUUUAGAACGUCUAAUCGAGCAAAAAUGUAAACACUUGACCAGUAGAUCGUCAAACGUUUACAACAAUCACUGUUAGAAAUGAGCUUGCAGGACAGGUUAUUAGACAAGUUCCGGAAGAAGUUGCCCCUCGUGUUGAAGAUGAACUUUUAGAAGAUCCUACAUUUUGCAACCAAAAUACAAUAGGGAAGAUCGUAUGCUUCUUUGCGAUGGUUGUGACUGUAAUAAUCAUCUAAUAAACCUUAAUAUUAACUUACUA